This 617-nucleotide long non-coding RNA is filed under the name Olea europaea subsp. europaea. The record is from RNAcentral. Lineage: Eukaryota; Viridiplantae; Streptophyta; Magnoliopsida; Lamiales; Oleaceae.
AAUUGAUGUCAAACUGGGGCUUAAUCUUUCACCAAAUAAAUUAUUGAAAAUAAUUAUAUCUAGCUUAUUGAAAUAUGUGAAAUUAAAUGCCAAUCACCAAACCCUAUAUUAAUAUAAUACAACUUGGAAUAAAAACCAGAUGGCUCAUUAGAUUCAAAGAUAACUGCAGGCCAAAUUUGACACCUAUAUUUAAGAUAUCUGAUCACAUAAUAAAGAGGGUUUGAAAAAUUCCAGCUCCCUUUUCGCCCAUCUCAUCAAGCUUGCUUCAUUGAACAUGGAUAAUAAAAACAUAAUACAUAAAUAAUUUGUCCUUCCAAUAAUUUUUUCAUUUCUGUAUACGAAAAACUGAGCUCCCCUACUGCUCCAACCUACACAACUGUUUUAUUAUUGGCUCUUAUUUAAGCUUUUAUUGAUGUAACAAUCUAUCUUUUCAUGGACCGAGCUGCCUGCACAGCAUGGCACACAGCUCGAUUUACAGUACCCUCACAUCGGGAGGCUCGUGUCAUUUUUUUAUUGGUGCAGACCCCACCGAGCUAUAAGGGUGCUGUACAAACGGCUUAUUCCAUCUUUACAUAGUCUACUAAAAAUAUCGAUUGGCAUCAAAUAAGUCAAGAUAG